UAAAUUUUAUUUCUAAAAAAUAUACAUUUUUAUUGAUGUAUUAAAAAAACGUAACAUUAUUAUUUAUUUUUCACUUAAAUAUGACUUAAAAGUUAACAAUACAUAAGAUAGAUACGACAAAACUAAAGAACGUUACAUAUAGUAAAAAAAUAAAAGUAUUUGUUGUUAGUAUGUGGUGGCAUAUUCAUUGUUUUUUAUGACGGCUUCACAUCUUCGUGGCAUAGAUUCAAUUAAAUUGUUUACAUGUCUUGAGAAAUGUUUUUCUAUGCCCGUUCGACUUGGGUAGAGAGUCCUUGUUUUUACAAUUUUCCUGCUGAAUUUUCCGCACUACACUUUCCCAUAGAUUCUCUAUGGGAUUGAGAUUAGAUGAUUGCUCGGGCCACUUCAAAACUUCAUUUUAUUGGAAAUAAACCAGUCCUUUACACAUUUGGCCGUGUGCUUCGGAUGUUAUCGUGUCGGUAGUUCCUUUUUAACGGCAUUUCCUCUUCAGCAUAAGGAAGCAUAAAGUUUUGAGGUAUGCAAAUAAAACGAUCCUUUUGGUCUUCGUUCCAGCUUUAAUUCACCCAUUCCUUUAAUAUUGUACUCGGACUCAUCAGAAAAAAAUACACUUCUCCAUCUUGUAAUACUCUAGUUAGCGUGAGCUUUUGCAAAUUUAAUCCGCGCUUUUCGAUUUUUGUGUGAAAUGUAUGACUUUUUGACACUUCUGCCUGUUAUAAAGUUAUUUUCUACAGUUCGUCGCUGGAUGGAUCUGCACGAAAUAUUUAAGUCCAAUUCGCUCUGGAUUGAUCUAGCUUAUAUAAAGGGAUCUCUUUUUAUGGAGCGCACUAUGGUCAUAUCCUCACGGCUAGUAGUUUUACGUGGUCUGCCACCUCCAUGAAUUGUGGUUAGGGAGCCCGAAGAAAGAAAAUGACAUAAUUCUUGAGACAAUGCUGUGAUUAAUUGUGAAGUUUUUCGAAAUAUUAGUUACUGAUUCACCGUUUUAAAAUCGCUAUUAAUUUUUUCCCUAAAUAUUGCUGAAUACUUAUUACGCGCCAUUUCACAAAUGUUUUUUUUUAUUACAAAGCAACACCAUCGGUUGAUCAGAUAUCCUAAUGAAACUUGGUACACGUGUUCCUUGGAAAAAAAGUGAUGGGCGUAAUCGGACCACUGACACGCCCCAAAACGUAAUUAAACGAAAAUCUAUAAAGUAACAUAAUUAAGCACUAAAUUAAGAUAUAAAAUUGUAAUUUGACACUGGGGAUCACAGUAGCAAGAGGCACCUGUAGGCUAAAAAUUAAAUAAAAGGUAUGGCCACGCCUUCUAAGGGGUAAUGCACAUAUCUCCUAAACCACUUACGGUACAACAAACCAAUUCGCUCAAGACAAAUCUUUUAUGCACCCCUACACUGUAAAAUUGUUGAAAUCGGGUGAUACCCCGCCCACUCCCCAUGUCAUGGUUCUGUUAAAACUACUAAAAGCGCGAUAAAUCAAUAAAUAUAUACUUCCGAGACAUUAAAUUUUACAUCUACGAUGAUACAAAAGGACUUUUUAGGAGCCGGAGUCAAAUGGGCAUAGAACCGCCCAUAUUUCGGUGAAAACACAUGUCUCAGGACCUACUCAACCAAAUUUGGUAUGUAAUUCUAUCUUGUGAUUCCUAUAUUUUAUUGCGAAAAUGGGCGAAAUCAGACCACAACCACGCCUACUUCCCAUAUAACACAAUUUUAAAUUCCAUCUGAUUCUUUCACUUUCCAGUAUGCUAAUCAAGCACCAAUUAACGUAUCGGUAUAAAACUUAACUUAUUAGCAUUGCGAUCUCAUAAUAAAUAUACCGACUCCGGAACAACGUUUGUAAAUCCAGCAAAUUUAUUACCAAAAUAAUGGGUCGAUUCGCGCGAAGCAUCAUACAAAACUCCUUUCAGCGAUAAAGUUCAAUUUUGGUUAAAUGGGUACAUUAAUGAACAAAAUUGUCGCAUUCGAAGUGAUGAUACUAUAAUCUACAAGCCAUUGUUUAGACGCCAUGAUAUUCUCAAAAAGUCACUGUUUGGUGGGCUCAAUGGGCAGAGAGAAUCAUUGGUACACAUUUUUUUAAAACUAAAGCAGACCAAUGGGGAACGCCAUAGAGCCAUGAUUAAUGACUUUUCCAUAGCUGAAUUGGAGGAUGUUGAUGUGGACAACCUUUGGUUCCAACAAGAUUGCGCUACAUAUAGCCAACGAAACAAUCAAUUUAUUAAAGGAAACUUUUGGAGAGCGCAUUAUUGGUCAAAGUUAGACAUUUUAAUUUUUAUGUCUACGCCAAAUUUAAUAUUAAAUUCAGUAGUAGAUUGUACUGUAUAAAAUCCUUUGACAGCUUCCUUCGUAAGUAAAGCCGUUAUUUAAGGUUCAAACUAACAUACUCACUUGAGCGUAAGCAUUCUCACCAUAUUUGAUCGCCCGACUGAAACGCUGUACUUAAAUUACAAAAUUCCUGUUAUAAAAAAGAUAUUAAAAAGCACCACACACAUAAGUACAUACAUACCUAUAUGUAUAUAUGUAUUUGAGUUUUAAUUUUGCCAAUAUGUGUGUACAAGUAUUCAAAAACUAUAGUUAAAUUUAUAAACGAGCCUAAGUAUAUACUGAAAAUUCAGAUGGAACAUGGUGCUUUCCAUUUUGUAGCAGAAAUGAGGACACACACAAAACCAGACCAAGGAAAAAAACAAAAGUAAAAAACGUGCAAAGUAAUUUAACCUUUAAUUAGAGCAUUGAACCGGACCGAGGCAGAAAGUGCAACGAAUCAUAAUUUAUUAAACGCCGCAACACAAAAAAUAAAAUCACUACAACAAUAAAGAAGCAACAACAAAAAAUAACACAACACAUCUGGCGAGAAUAUUAACUGUAAAAGGCGAGCGAAAAACACCAUGCUAAGAGAAACAACAUGUAAUAACACCCACAAAAAGAACAUACGACAAAAUAAAAAUAGCAACAAAGCUACACACAUACACUGAAACAAUGCGUAAUUAAAGGCCUACAAGGAAGGGGUAAAAUAGGCUAGAUGAAGUUGCCAGACAGGUAGCCAGACGGGCGAGCGGCAAUACGUACGUAUAUAAAUAUGUAUAAACGAAUCCUAAGAUGGUGGUACGAAUUGCAGUUAGUAUCAGGGAUAUGUAAAGGAUAAUCCAAAAUGUAGACAAUGUCACCUAUUUUUUUCCUUAUGUAUAAAUCGAGCUACAAAGACCUGCAUUGCUUUGUAAAAGUCGUAAGAAUGGAAAACAAUAAAAAGCAGCCUACAAAUAUCUGUAACCAGUGAGCAAUUCAGGUUUGGUUUCGGUGCGGACUGAAUGUAUUGUGUACAGAUUUCAUACAACUAAAGAUUAGAGUGCAAUGUCAAGGAGCGUUAGCAACACAGCUGUGUAAAUGAAAAGAGAGAAAAAUCGAAUCUAGAGAGCAAAUGCAAGAAAUUAAGAGGUAAAGGAAUAUUUAUUAUACAUGUAUGUGUAUUAUAUUGUAUAUAUACGUAUUUUUCAUGUCACUCUCACUUAGCCAUUAUCUAUAUAACAUAACGUAGACUACAGUGGUUCAGAUCUCAUUUUGUUAAUUCAUGUGAUUUUCAGUUGCGCACAACAUUUAAAUCUUUCGCAACCAAGUACCAAUUUAUUGUUCUUUAACUGUUAGCCAAACUUGUGUGGACGAAAGGUUGGGACAGUCGACAAGGACAAGAACAGCAAGGAGACAGAGGUGUUGCGACCUCUUCACAUGCUACUGAAAGCGAAGACUAGGAAUUUCACAACUAAUUUCAAGUGCACGGUCGGUAAGAUCAAGGCUAUCAGAAUGCCUUUUUUUUCUUGAUAUGUCAACGGGUAAUUUAAUUAAGGAAAAGGAAGUGUUUGAGUCUCUAUUCCAUUUUAAAAUUCAUCCAGAGAUCAAUCUCUUCUGUGUUUUCAAAAGGAAGGAGGAGAAUAAAUAAACAAGCCAACCGGUUCAUUGUAGGCGAAGGGACGAGGAGGAAAGACGAAGGAACCGUGCCCGCUUUGUGUUCUUGUUCGUAACAGCAAUUCUAUUAAUGGUUGAGAGAGCGCUCGGUUUCAAAUGAAUCUACAAGUAUACCAUUCGUUCAGAAAUUUUAAUUCUGUUAUCUAUUUUUUGUAUGAAAUUUGCAAAUAUGUAUGUAUGUAUGAAAUAUUUUGGAAAAUGGUAAAUAAGGAGAAAAUUAAGAUACUCUAAAAUAUUCAAUUUAAAUUUUUAA
Molecule: long non-coding RNA, 4196 nt
Organism: Bactrocera oleae (olive fruit fly)
Lineage: Eukaryota; Metazoa; Arthropoda; Insecta; Diptera; Tephritidae
Source: RefSeq, a predicted model, not a curated record